UGUGUAUGUGGGAAAAGCAUGUGGAAUAUAAGAAUUAUGUGUAGCUGAUAUAAACUCUUCAAGCCAGAAAAGGUUUCAGUGUAUGGAAUGAAAACUGCUAACAAAAUUGAAAAAAAAACACGUUAGAAUAUUAACUGGGAGAGGACUUGGGGAAUAUUGCCAUUGGCUGCCCACAGCCUGGGGGGUGAGGUAUUGCACAGUGAUUGGCUACACAUGUUUUAGAUCCAGACAGCCGAGGUUUUGCAUCAGGUUUUGCCUGAAAAGUCUUUGGGGCUAGGCAGGUUAAUCACUAAGAAUAAUGCUUGUAGCUUAUUCAGGAAAGACAGAGGCUGGACAAAAAUUGUACGUGUGUGGAGUGUUUCUCAAAAGUGAGGUUGCUAUGGGGUUGUAUAACGGGGGAAUGAAUCAGAGUCUGGAAUUAACUUAAACCUGACUAAACUGAACAUUGGAGCAUGAGUGGGAAGUAGCAAAGCCACUGGCUCUCCACCUUCGGUUAGUACAAGAUGGGAAGAAUGGGCUACAGUUGGAUAUAUCCCUCCCCCAGCUCCAGUGACAAAAAUGAAUUGGAUGAAGAUGGAAAACAAAUGAAGGAAAUAGGAGGAUGUUGCUAUUAUGGAG
Hipposideros armiger (great roundleaf bat) is the source of this 618-nucleotide long non-coding RNA. RefSeq lists it as uncharacterized. Lineage: Eukaryota; Metazoa; Chordata; Mammalia; Chiroptera; Hipposideridae. The record is from RefSeq and is a predicted model, not a curated record. The transcript has 3 exons.